AGAGGAUAUGUGCAAUCGAAACAAUGGAACUGCUCAUCAGUAAUAAUUCUCUGGCUCUGAAGCAAUCUGAGAUCUCCUGAGGAGUGAUCACUUGACGCAUCCUUGUCUAUGAUGCUACAAUACUGAAGCGACUGUGACUGCUGGUUAUGUGAUGACAUCUUGCCCUUUGCCCAGCCUCAAUAACCUAUGCUGCCAGACCUGAGUUUCUGCAGUAAUUCCUGAAUCUGUUCCUAAUUUGCAAAAUCUCUCUUCAUCCUGGUAACCAAAGAAAACACAUGCAACGUGCCUCAAUGACUACUGCCUGGUGGCUCUGACCUCCAUCACUAUGAAAUGCUUUGAGAGAUUAGUCUUAGCUCAUAUUAAUUCUAGCCUCCCAACCUGCCUCAAUCCCUUGUAAUUUGCCCAAUGGUGCAACUGGUCCACAGCAGAUGCCAUCUCCCUAGCCCUAUAUCCAUCCAUAGAACAUCUGAAUAAUAAGAAUACCUCUGUCAGGUUUCUACUUAUUGACUACAACUCCACCUUCAACACUAUCAUUACAACCAAACUAAUCUCAAAACUCCGAAACCCAGGUCUCAGUUCCGCCCUCUGCAAUUGGAUCCUCAGCUUUCUGACCCACAGACCAUAAUCAGUGAAGAUAGACAAUAGCAUCUCCUCCAAGAUAAUCCUCAACACUGGCACCCUGCAAGAAUGCAUUCUCAGCCCCUUACUGUCCUCCCUGUACACUCACACUGUGUGGCCAACUCCCAUCUGAACUCUAUCCACAAGUUUGCU
This is a non-coding RNA of Chiloscyllium plagiosum (whitespotted bambooshark), 771 nucleotides long. The record is from RefSeq and is a predicted model, not a curated record. Lineage: Eukaryota; Metazoa; Chordata; Chondrichthyes; Orectolobiformes; Hemiscylliidae.